Molecule: long non-coding RNA, 681 nt
Organism: Vitis riparia (riverbank grape)
Lineage: Eukaryota; Viridiplantae; Streptophyta; Magnoliopsida; Vitales; Vitaceae
Exons: 3
Source: RefSeq, a predicted model, not a curated record
GCUCAAAUUUCAAUAUAGAACGUUGAUGGUGAUAGAAGAGCAUAUUUCCUUUGAAAUGCUCUUUAGCUGCUUAGAAAAUCAGUUCAUGUUGUUGCUCUAAUUCAAGCUGUUUGGCAAUAGAGGAAGGGGAAACUAGGUUAGAGAUCUUUGGUCCAAACAAGUUGGAUGAGAAAAAAGGCUAUUCUUUAUGUUGUUGAGUAGUGCCCUAGUUUUAUUUUAUUAAUAAUGAUGGAAAAACUGAUAUGGCAAGAACAAUUUUUCGAAACAAGAAAACAAGUUGCUUAAAUUCUUGGGCUUUAUGUGGAAUCCUCUAUCAUGAGUGAUGGAAGUUGCUGCUAUCAUGGCCAUUGCUAUGGCAAAUGGAGGGGUGCUGGCUUUGGUUUACUAGAAAGAACUUUAAAUCACUAUGCUAAUGUCAGGUCAUCUUUUUGGGAAAUUAACCUUAUAGUUGGAUAAGCUAGCAUGAAGCAGUAUGUUGAAGACCAAGGCAAAUUGGGUUGCAAGUAAAGAAAAAAUGGACCAUGUUAAGGGACUAAACAUUAAAGUUGUGACUUUUUUUUGUUGUUAUUUUAAUAUCUUUUAGUUUUUUUUUUUUUUUUUUGUGUUUCUUAUACAAGUUCUCUAUCCGUGAUUAAAUAUUGCAAUUUGGAAAUGUAUUACCAAGUGAAAAAUUAGGUGCAA